AGUGAACGCUGGCGGUAGGCCUAACACAUGCAAGUCGAACGGCAGCACAGGAGAGCUUGCUCUCUGGGUGGCGAGUGGCGGACGGGUGAGGAAUACAUCGGAAUCUACUUUUUCGUGGGGGAUAACGUAGGGAAACUUACGCUAAUACCGCAUACGACCUACGGGUGAAAGCAGGGGAUCUCCGGACCUUGCGCGAUUGAAUGAGCCGAUGUCGGAUUAGCGAGUUGGCGGGGUAAAGGCCCACCAAGGCGACGAUCCGUAGCUGGUCUGAGAGGAUGAUCAGCCAGACUGGAACUGAGACACGGUCCAGACUCCUACGGGAGGCAGCAGUGGGGAAUAUUGGACAAUGGGCGCAAGCCUGAGCCAGCCAUACCGCGUGGGUGAAGAAGGCCUUCGGGUUGUAAAGCCCUUUUGUUGGGAAAGAAAUCCAGCUGGUUAAUACCCGGUUGGGAUGACGGUACCCAAAGAAUAAGCACCGGCUAACUUCGUGCCAGCCGCCGCCGUAA
Molecule: ribosomal RNA, 506 nt
Filed under: uncultured bacterium
Lineage: Bacteria
Description: partial 16S ribosomal RNA
Rfam family: Bacterial small subunit ribosomal RNA
Source: RNAcentral